RNAcentral lists this ribosomal RNA (400 nucleotides) under uncultured bacterium. RNAcentral's name for it is "bacterial SSU rRNA". It matches the Rfam family "Bacterial small subunit ribosomal RNA", at positions 356 to 773 of the family's 1533-position model. The record is from RNAcentral.
GGGGAAUAUUGCACAAUGGACGAAAGUCUGAUGCAGCAACGCCGCGUGGAGGAUGACACAUUUCGGUGCGUAAACUCCUUUUAUAUAGGAAGAUAAUGACGGUACUAUAUGAAUAAGCACCGGCUAACUCCGUGCCAGCAGCCGCGGUAAUACGGAGGGUGCAAGCGUUACUCGGAAUCACUGGGCGUAAAGAGCGUGUAGGCGGGUGUAUAAGUCAGAAGUGAAAUCCUAUAGCUUAACUAUAGAACUGCUUUUGAAACUGUAUACCUAGAAUGUGGGAGAGGUAGAUGGAAUUUCUGGUGUAGGGGUAAAAUCCGUAGAGAUCAGAAGGAAUACCGAUUGCGAAGGCGAUCUACUGGAACAUUAUUGACGCUGAGACGCGAAAGCGUGGGGAGCAAAC